ACAGAGGGUGCAAGCGUUGUUCGGAAUUAUUGGGCGUAAAGCGCGUGUAGGCGGCCGUGCAAGUCGGGUGUGAAAGCCCUCAGCUCAACUGAGGAAGUGCGCCCGAAACUGCAUGGCUUGAGUACCGGAGAGGAUGGCGGAAUUCCCCAAGUAGAGGUGAAAUUCGUAGAUAUGGGGAGGAACACCGGUGGCGAAGGCGGCCAUCUGGACGGCAUUGACGCUGAUGAGCGAAAGCCAGGGGAGCAAACGGGA
This 252-nucleotide ribosomal RNA is filed under the name uncultured prokaryote. RNAcentral describes it as "partial 16S ribosomal RNA". It matches the Rfam family "Bacterial small subunit ribosomal RNA", at positions 525 to 777 of the family's 1533-position model. The record is from RNAcentral.